Molecule: long non-coding RNA, 530 nt
Organism: Rhineura floridana
Lineage: Eukaryota; Metazoa; Chordata; Lepidosauria; Squamata; Rhineuridae
Exons: 3
Source: RefSeq, a predicted model, not a curated record
UCGCCUCCUUUUCCCUAAACUCUCUCCAAAAUGAAGGCGCUAAACCAUGCUCUCCACCCCGAGUGACGAUUUUUAUCAUUUCCACCUUCUCCCACAAGACUGUCUGUUGGUUUUGCCAGUAACCUUGUUUCUCUCCAGAACCUAAGUUGCGGGAUCACUAUCUCAGCCUCUUGCCCUUCUUCCGCACACUCCAGAGGAAAGCAGGUGGCAGCAAUAAAUCAACCUACUCACCAUCUGAAAAACAGGGUUAAGGAUGAACAGAGUAGCUGUAGAAGAGCUGCUUGACAGAACACAGAAGGACAUUGCUGACAGAUGGCAGCGUAUAUCAUAUUGGAAGAUGAGCAGGUGAAUAAACCUCUGAAGUUCUGCAACAGUGUUGCCUGUAUAAAGACGGGGAGAGAGUUGUCAUCUGUGAUUGUUGCAGGGUCUGGUCCUUGUGUUUGCAUCUCUGUUGUGUAACCUAUUGUUGGUGAGCUGUUAUAGGUUCAGUAAAAUAGCAAUUAAAUAUACAAAUAAUAUAAUGAAAUGGU